Molecule: non-coding RNA, 303 nt
Organism: Nicotiana tabacum (common tobacco)
Lineage: Eukaryota; Viridiplantae; Streptophyta; Magnoliopsida; Solanales; Solanaceae
Source: RefSeq, a predicted model, not a curated record
GGGAACGCAACACAUAUGUUGCGAUUGAAGCAGAAGCUAAGAAAAAAAAUCUUUCUAGGAGAGAAGGAAACUUUAGAAUCAGUUAAUUCAAAGUUUGAAGCUCCAAUACCGUGAUUCUUUAUUCAAGGGAUUUCCUGUGCAUCCUUAGAUUUCUUUACGUGGAGAAGAACAAGGUAGCUGAAGAAGUUGAACAAAGUGCUCGAGGUGACGUGUUUGGUAUUCUUGCACGAGUACUAUUCGAGGCUUUCAGAGACCAAUUUUUGUGGCAAGGGAAUAGCGGAAAAAAUAAUUACGCGGUUUGAG